This is a non-coding RNA of Schistosoma mansoni, 46 nucleotides long. The record is from Rfam. NCBI's taxonomy places the organism in Eukaryota, Metazoa, Platyhelminthes, Trematoda, Strigeidida, Schistosomatidae.
GCACUGCUGAGUCGUCCCAUAAUAGGACGAAACGGCCGUCCAGUGU